Molecule: non-coding RNA, 828 nt
Filed under: Perkinsus marinus ATCC 50983
Lineage: Eukaryota; Perkinsozoa; Perkinsida; Perkinsidae
Description: Eukaryotic small subunit ribosomal RNA
Rfam family: Eukaryotic small subunit ribosomal RNA
Source: Rfam by way of RNAcentral
CACCUGGUUGAUCCUGCCAGUAGUCAUAUGCUUGUCUCAAAGAUUAAGCCAUGCAUGUCUAAGUAUAAGCUUUAAACGGCGAAACUGCGAAUGGCUCAUUAAAACAGUUAUAGUUUAUUUGGUGAUCGAUUACUAUUUGGAUAACCGUAGUAAUUCUAGAGCUAAUACAUGCGUCAAGGCCCGACUUCGGAAGGGCUGCGUUUAUUAGAUACAGAACCAACCUAGGCUCCGCCUAGUCCUUGUUGGUGAUUCAUAAUAACCCGGCGAAUCGCACGGCUUGUCCGGCGAUGGACCAUUCAAGUUUCUGACCUAUCAGCUAUGGACGGUAGGGUAUUGGCCUACCGUGGCGUUGACGGGUAACGGGGAAUUAGGGUUCGAUUCCGGAGAGGGAGCCUGAGAAACGGCUACCACAUCUAAGGAAGGCAGCAGGCGCGCAAAUUACCCAAUCCUGAUACAGGGAGGUAGUGACAAGAAAUAACAAUACAGGGCAAUUCUGUCUUGUAAUUGGAAUGAGUAGAUUUUAAAUCUCUUUACGAGUAUCAAUUGGAGGGCAAGUCUGGUGCCAGCAGCCGCGGUAAUUCCAGCUCCAAUAGCGUAUAUUAAAGUUGUUGCGGUUAAAAAGCUCGUAGUUGGAUUUCUGCCUUGGGCGACCGAUCCACCUUUCCUACGGGAUUGGUUGGUAUCAGGUUUGACCUUGGCUUUUUCUUGGGAUUCGUGCUCACGUACUUAACUGUGCGUUGACCGUGUUCCAAGACUUUUACUUUGAGGAAAUUAGAGUGUUUCAAGCAGGCUUAUGCCAUGAAUACAUUAGCAUGGAAUAAUAGGAUA